This 253-nucleotide ribosomal RNA is filed under the name uncultured bacterium. RNAcentral's name for it is "partial 16S ribosomal RNA". It matches the Rfam family "Bacterial small subunit ribosomal RNA", at positions 524 to 776 of the family's 1533-position model. The record is from RNAcentral.
GACGUAGGGAGCGAGCGUUGUCCGGAUUCAUUGGGCGUAAAGCGCGCGUAGGCGGCCUCGCAAGUCGGUUGUGAAAUCCCGGGGCUCAACCCCGGGACUGCGUCCGAUACUGCGAGGCUGGAGGUAGGUAGGGGAGAUCGGAAUUCCUGGUGUAGCGGUGAAAUGCGCAGAUAUCAGGAGGAACACCGGUGGCGAAGGCGGAUCUCUGGGCCUUACCUGACGCUGAGGCGCGAAAGCGUGGGGAGCAAACAGG